Long non-coding RNA from Sebastes umbrosus (honeycomb rockfish), 179 nucleotides. RefSeq lists it as uncharacterized. The transcript is spliced from 3 exons. NCBI's taxonomy places the organism in Eukaryota, Metazoa, Chordata, Actinopteri, Perciformes, Sebastidae. The record is from RefSeq and is a predicted model, not a curated record.
CGGAACAGCAAAGCUGAUGAGUAUCAUUCUGGGCGGUCUGACUGGUUUCCUGGUAGCGGUCAUCAUCGGUCUGGUUGUUAAAAACAGGAAGCUGCAGACAGCUGCCAGUGAAGACCAGAACUCACAACAGUAUGAGAAUGUGGACUGUGAUGAGCUGAGAGAUGCAGAGCUGAGUUUGU